RNAcentral lists this ribosomal RNA (237 nucleotides) under uncultured bacterium. RNAcentral's name for it is "partial 16S ribosomal RNA". It matches the Rfam family "Bacterial small subunit ribosomal RNA", at positions 99 to 334 of the family's 1533-position model. The record is from RNAcentral.
CGCACGGGUGAGUAACACGUAUCCAACCUGCCGUCUACUCUUGGCCAGCCUUCUGAAAGGAAGAUUAAUCCAGGAUGGCAUCAUGAGUUCACAUGUCCGCAUGAUUAAAGGUAUUUUCCGGUAGACGAUGGGGAUGCGUUCCAUUAGGUAGUAGGCGGGGUAACGGCCCACCUAGUCAACGAUGGAUAGGGGUUCUGAGAGGAAGGUCCCCCACAUUGGAACUGAGACACGGUCCAA